RNAcentral lists this ribosomal RNA (253 nucleotides) under uncultured bacterium. RNAcentral describes it as "partial 16S ribosomal RNA". It matches the Rfam family "Bacterial small subunit ribosomal RNA", at positions 524 to 776 of the family's 1533-position model. The record is from RNAcentral.
UACGAAGGGGGCUAGCGUUGUUCGGAAUCACUGGGCGUAAAGGGCGCGUAGGCGGCUUUAUAAGUCGGGGGUGAAAGCCUGUGGCUCAACCACAGAAUUGCCCUCGAUACUGUAGAGCUUGAGACCGGAAGAGGUAAGUGGAACUGCGAGUGUAGAGGUGAAAUUCGUAGAUAUUCGCAAGAACACCAGUGGCGAAGGCGGCUUACUGGUCCGGUUCUGACGCUGAGGUGCGAAAGCGUGGGGAGCAAACAGG